RNAcentral lists this non-coding RNA (29 nucleotides) under Homo sapiens (human). Lineage: Eukaryota; Metazoa; Chordata; Mammalia; Primates; Hominidae. The record is from RNAcentral.
UGGGAAGGGCCUUUUAUGAAGACAUAAGG